Molecule: long non-coding RNA, 5053 nt
Organism: Ailuropoda melanoleuca (giant panda)
Lineage: Eukaryota; Metazoa; Chordata; Mammalia; Carnivora; Ursidae
Exons: 3
Source: RefSeq, a predicted model, not a curated record
UGACAGGCGAACGGGGAGGGGGAGUGCGUCUGUGAGCCAGGAAUCUAUUUGUGGAUUUCAUAGAGGCAUGCUCGAAUCAAGUCCCAAAGCUUUGGCAUGGUGUUUAUUAGCCAAGUUAAGUGUAUUGCAAAUUAAUGCCCGCAGUGGCAUUUAUGAAUGAGAAGAGGGAAAAAAAAUCAACUUCCCCCACUGCCUGGCAGAUUCCCAGGCAGAGGUCUUCCCCCUUCCGCCCCCCUCCCUUUUUUGGUAUGUCGUACUUGUUUGUUUUUGGAGGUUCCCACUUUAGUUCCAGCCCACUGCCUGGGUUGGAAGUCCGAGAGGAAACGAAUGCAGGGAGUUCUCCGGGAGGCUGACUUCUACUUCCUCACGGAUGCGGGAGACUGGGUAAGCCCUUCCAGCCUCCCUCCGCAGGCGGGCGGGAGGCGAUGCUAACGAAGCAGCCAGCCAAAAGCCCAGGGGACCACCUUGCAGUGAUUUGUACUGAGAUCAUCACCUGUGUAUACUGCAAUGCCAAACCAGAUUCCAGCACCAUUGUGCCCAGUGGAUCUAAAGCUGAAAGUUUUGAGGGGUUUUUAACACAUUUCCUUGGGACCACUUAGGAUCCUCCCAUUUCAAAUGGAUUGCAAUGCUUUUCUAGUCAAGUACAAAGAAAUAGGAGAUUAUAAUGUUCUGUAAUAAAACUGUUAGCAGAAUAUAAGAUCCUAUUCUGUCUUCAACACACUCAGAAGACCCCCCACAAAGCAAUUUGCUUUGACAUCAUCAGUAUCCUUCGUGUGACUGAUAAAUUUUCCCUCAAAAUUUCAAAAACUAUCUUCUUAUGCAAUUUUAAUAAAAACAUACACAAGUAAUUAUGCUAAUCUUUCUUUUAUAUGUGCUCUAGAACUCUUCGUCCUUUUAAAAGUGUAGGGCUGUUCAGUCUUCACAAUUUAGCAGUCUUGCUUAAGAAGUCCUUCAGUGCCAACUUUUCUGUGAAUGACUCUGAUAAUCACAAUGAGAAGCUAUUGCAGUGAAAACAUCCUCCAAUAAAGAGAACUGUGGCAGGAAAGAGUUAAAUUUCAUUCAUUCAAAAGUGCCCUUUCAUAAGUCUAAGAAGCUUUUGCUAGUUGGGAGUAGGAUCUCUUGGCUUUGUUGGAGGGGUUUUGGGGUGCAGGGCUUACUUUUCAAGACUAUGGCUUGUCAGGUGCUAUGCAAAUAAAAUGAGGAAAAUCUGGGCCCUACUUCAUACUCAAGACAGUCCAUCCAUUAUUAUUUGGAAAACAUUUUUUUCCUGCACUAAAGCUUCAUUAUUGUUUCCGUCUUAAUGAAGUGACUGGGGAUGGGGGUGAGUAGGCGCAGUACAGGGUGGGAGGAGGUCGUGGGGAGAGAAUGGAGAGGAGUGUUCCUGGCUUCUGUUGUGGAGUCUUUUCUAUUUGACUUCAUGGUUGUAAGUAUUUCCAGAUGGUGAAUCAGACACCAGACGUAACAAUAUUUCCAUAUUUGGGUAUAGCAGUAGCCUGCGUUUUUAACAUUUUUCUGCCUCUGUUAUCCAACCACAAAGCAUUCUUGACAGCUUCAAAUGUUGUUAAAUAUAGACUUAACUUCUGUUCCCAGAGCAGGAAAUUCUUUGGAAUUCCUUGUUUUUCACGCAAUCUGUCUAUCAUGAUUUGAAAUAAAAUUAUAGUGGAUGAUCCAACUGGCCGGUGUAUAUACCUUGCUCUUUUAUUGAGCGGGACGGAAGAUACGCAAAGCGAUUUCGUCUGCCACACAGCUUUGAAACGCAGGCCAUUCCAGAGAUUCCUUUAAAAAUCAGAUUAAAGUUUUCUAACAAGGAUGUGUGGGCUUGUUUCUGGGCUUCAGCUGGGGAAUCUUGGAGGAUGUUUGCCCUAGAGGAGAAACUUAGAGAACCUUACCAUCAGCUACCCAUUUAAAGCAGGGAGUACGUUGUGGGAGGAGGGUGGGGAGCCGGAGCAAACAGGGCCAGUAGGUGGGGGAGAGGGAAAGACUGGAGCAACCUAUGUGCACAGCCUUUCCAUAUACUAUGUCCUGGUGCGCCUGCUAGUAAACGACGGCAUCAGACGGGAGGAACUGCAGCUCCUCACGUCCUGCUUAAGGAUGGUCCAGAAACCCCAGAUGUCCCGUCCCCUUCACGCCUCCUCCGCUGAGAGCUGCAGAUCAGUUCACGUUGACAGAUUAGAGGGGAAAUGUGCAAACGUUUAUGGUUUCAUCUGUACAAAAAGGAGAUCUGGUUAGCUUCUGCUGAGACUUUUCAGUAGAAAAUGCUUCAAAAAAGAAAAGAAAAGGAGCAGCUAUUUUGAAGACUGACUUUCUAAAAUUACAUUUAGGAUUAAGCGGCUGUAACAUUGCCAUUCGUCGCCGAGGCUCCUGGUUUCAGCAUGUCUCCUUGGUUCCCAGCCAGUCCUGGGUGUUCAGGUAGCAGCUGGAGCUGGGAGUGCCUCUCCAGCCCGCAUUCCUUGGCUAUGAAUUUUGCAGCCCUGUUUAUCUGAUGAAGACCUCCCCACAGUGAGUUGCUCAUGACACUGUCACACAGACCUUAAUAAAUGAUAUGGAAAGAUACUGAAUAUUUUUCCUCCAGGAAUGCCAAGUGAUCCUGCAUGCCAACCAGUCCCCUCACUUUGGCUGAUCAUGGAUAAAAAGCCUGGUGCCGAGAUCUGAUGAGACCUGUCCCACAUAAACCAAAUUCUAACAGGAUGCCUGCAAGUCCUCUCUAUGAGGCUGCCACCCAAGCCUGUUUGGAGAAUUUUCAACAGUUACAUUUGCACAGACGUUGGUUCUCACUUUUCUGCACUAAUUAUUUACUUCGGUUUAUACUUUCAAUCUAUAUAUGUUAUCACCCACUUCAGCACACAAAGACCUGUCUUCCUUUUCUCGGAAUGACUUGACUUGAGAUAGCUUGGGGUGGCCUCAAAGCAUGGCUUUCUCACUAUUUCAUGUGUCUUCAUUUUGCCUUCCCAAACCAGACUGUAAAUUCCUUGAGAGAGGAGACCCGAAAACUGAUAAUACCUUAUAUAGACAGAUAGGCAACAGCAGCAACAACAACAGCAGCAACAUUUGUACAAAAAGGCUGUUGUUGCUCUUAGUAAUUGAGAAAAUUUGCCUUAACAUGUUCAAAAGACUCUAGAUCAUUUGCACUAACAUAUGUUUCUUCUCCUUUCCCCUGCCUGCCCUCUGCUGGAACUGCUAGUGAGCAAUAAGAGGGCCAAAGAAGGACAUGGUGUGGGAAACAUGGGGAAAACAGGGGCUUGUCUCAUUGAAAAGCAAGCUGAAUAACCGUGAUUUGUGAGUUCACAACCUAGAUCUUUGAAGUUCCUCGUUAUUCGUCUUUGGGUAAUUAGCAGUCUCAUUACAAGACCCCUUGUGGGUUCAGCUGUGCUUGGGGAUGUGAUUCUGCCUACUGGCGUGGGACCGACCAAAUGACCUUGCGUGUCUAACACUCUUCUAUGCCUCUCUCAUCUCUCUCCCUCUUGCAACCUUCCAAUAGAUGGCAGACAGCUGAGCCAGGUAGUGCCCCGUCCUAAACAUGAAUGCCCUCCUGCUUACCAAUCCCGCAAAACCUUCACCACCUUCCUAUAUAACAGGCAUUUUCAAGUAUCUGGCAAGACUGCCAGUUUGGUAAUACAAGGCAGAAGGUAAGUGUGAAACUCCAGACUGGUUUCCUGUUUCGAAGGGGAGCAGGCUGUGACAGCUGCUGAGGCAGCCCUUUUGCCCUUGGAGAGGAGAAGCCAGAGUGUCUGAUCACUAGAUGACCUCUGCCUCUUGCUGGCUCAGGGAUGCUGUGAGCAGUCCCACGCCCCCACCUAUUCUUGGUCAGAUGGCUGCAUGUUAUGAAAACAGGGAGGUAAAGCAUGUUUUUUGCUUUUGUUUUAUUAUUAAAAGAGGCACUCUCUGGAGAGGCAGAAUCCAUUAGCUGAAUCCAUUUCAGUACUAUGGUUAAUUAAUUUAGGCAGUUUUAAUGCACUUUUAUUAUGUAGCCUUUAAGAGCAAUUCUGGUAAAUGUCCAUCCCAUAAAUACUAGCACUACUUUAUAUGUAUGAUAUCCUUUUUGGAAGGGUGAGUCUGAACUAUUAUACAGAUGUUAAUUUGCACACAACACUGACCAGACAAUGCAAAAAUGCUUCCUCAUAGUUUGAACAUUGUUCGAUACAUUUUGAAGUGGGAAAAACUGUUGGAUAUGACACUCUGUGUUUUAAGUCAGUAAGUCACUCUGGUUGCCUCCCAAAACAUAACUUUGAAAAGCAGUUUUGUCCUACUAUGAACUGAAUAAUUGAUUUCCGCAUUUCAUUCUGUAAAUUAAACACUAGACUUUGAGUUACUAGAAGAAAUGGCACAGUUAGCCAAUAAACCUUUCUUAUAAAAUGACAACAUUUUAAUUUAUUGUAUGCAUUAGCAUUUAUUCAUGGCUAAGAUUUCAUCAAUCAAUUUCCCAUUUAAAAAAGAUGUCUCUGAAAACAACAGUGGAGAAAUGCUUAGUUCCAAAAGCAAUGUUGUGGGCGGCAGCAGCAGGUCUAGCGUUUGGGCACGCAUUUAACUCAAUUAUUAUAGUCAAUAAUCAUGCGGCUCCAAGUAUAAACCCAUGUUUUUUAAGUAUCUACCUUAUGAACUGACAUUCUUGGAAUAUUAGUUUAAAAACGAAAAUAUUUAAAUUUCAUUAUUUGAGAGGUGUGCUGCAUUUGCUCAAAAUUAUAACAAUGUCUGGUAUUAUUUUACAAUAUUUAGUUUGCUACUUUAAUGGGCUUCUACAGUGCUUUGGAUUUUUAAUUUUGUUUACAGUAAUACAGUUCAAUAGUUGACUUCAGAUUAAAUAUUAGUAUAUUUCAAUAUUUUUAUUAAUUAGUUGCUUUUUGAAAAUAUUUUAAACUGAAAAUUUCUUCAAAAUAGAAGCUUUAAGAAUCACUACCAGCAGAUAAAUAUUAAUUUUAAAUCAUUCAUUCAUUUCAUUCAUUCAACGAAAUAGUAUUUAACACAUAACAGGACUGACUUAUCCAUGCACAGAAUAGGCAUAGCACCUGGAGCCCACAAUACUUUUAGGGGCCUGUGCAAAUGCUUUAAUUUUUUU